Molecule: long non-coding RNA, 238 nt
Filed under: Elaeis guineensis (African oil palm)
Lineage: Eukaryota; Viridiplantae; Streptophyta; Magnoliopsida; Arecales; Arecaceae
Description: long non-coding RNA (EGUI_LNC021622)
Source: RNAcentral
AUGAAUUCUAACACCAUUAGCGCUCCAUCCUUAUCUGAAACUUUUUUUAAAAAAAUUAUCUUUUUUUUAAUAUUUCAAAGAGUUAAUGUCCGAAAAUGAACAUUAUCUAAAAAUUCAGAUCCUAAAAUAAUAAUUUAGCCUAUUUUUUAUCCAAAAUUCUCGAUGCAAAUAAAAAUAUGGUAUAGGAAAAAUAUGAAUGCAUGAGCACCAAAAAUUUGUAGCAGCUAACGAGAGGGAC